ACUGCUCAGUAACACGUGGACAACGUGCCCUAUAGUGGGGGAUAAUCUCGGGAAACUGAGGAUAAUACCCCAUAGGCCAUGGGAUCUGGAAUGACCCAUGGCUCAAAGUUCCGGCGCUAUAGGAUCGGUCUGCGGCCUAUCAGGUAGUAGUGGGUGUAACGUACCCCCUAGCCAUUGACGGGUAUGGGCCUUGAGAGAGGGAGCCCAGAGUUGGAUUCUGAGACACGAAUCCAGGCCCUACGGGGCGCAGCAGUCGCGAAAACUUCACAAUGGGCGAAAGCCCGAUGAGGGAAUUCCAAGUGCGUAUACAUUAGUAUACGCUUUUGUUCAGCGUAGAUAACUGGACGAAUAAGGGCUGGGUAAGACGGGUGCCAGCCGCCGCGGUAAUACCCGCAGCCCGAGUGGUGGUCGAUUUUAUUGAGUCUAAAACGUUCGUAGCCGGUCUAGUAAAUCUCUGGGUAAAUCGGGUGGCUCAACUAUCCGAAUUCCGGAGAGACUGCUAGACUUGGGAUCGGGAGAGGUAAGAGGUACUUCAGGGGUAGGGGUAAAAUCCUGUAAUCCUUGGAGGACCACCGGUGGCGAAGGCGUCUUACUAGAACGAAUCCGACGGUGAGGGACGAAGCCCUAGGUCGCAAACGGGAUUAGAUACCCCGGUAGUCUAGGGUGUAAACGCUGCAGACUUGGUGUUGGGGACCCUUCGUGGGUAUUCAGUGCCGGAGAGAAGUUGUUAAGUCUGCUACUUGGGGAGUACGUCCGCAAGGAUGAAACUUAAAGGAAUUGGCGGGGGAGCAC
This 792-nucleotide ribosomal RNA is filed under the name uncultured archaeon. RNAcentral's name for it is "bacterial SSU rRNA". It matches the Rfam family "Archaeal small subunit ribosomal RNA", at positions 85 to 879 of the family's 1478-position model. The record is from RNAcentral.